This 67-nucleotide transfer RNA is filed under the name Anomalurus pusillus. RNAcentral describes it as "tRNA-Thr". The record is from RNAcentral. Lineage: Eukaryota; Metazoa; Chordata; Mammalia; Rodentia; Anomaluridae.
GUCCUUAUAGUAUAACUUAUUACCCUGACCUUGUAAAUCAAAAAUGAACCAAACGGCUCUAAGGACA